GCAUUUUUGUACGUGCCCAAUCACAGCUACCAGUGUCUUGUCUUUGACUACCUGUGAAAUCUGAUUUGCUGAGAUUAAUUUUGUAGCUGAAGGCAAACGAAUUAAUCAACUCGAGUGAACUGAGAAAAGACGCUCACCAGUUCUUUUUACGAAUACUGAAUUCUUCCUUUGAUGACACUACAGCCAGUCGUGCCAGCCUGCAAACUGCAAGCUACAGUCAGCACUGGCAUGCCCAUGGAGCCAAACUGGAUCACAAGAAAUAAAAUUGCCUAUAGAAGUGUCCAAACUGAAAGUGAACAUUAACUCUCCACGCGUACUUGAAGGAAAUUCCCCGAGAAUUUCCCCGAGGUGCACUGAAACGCCAGCGGUGGAAAACCAGUGGCAGGAUUCUACAGUGCUCCCAUUUCAGAUUUGUGCUAUGUGGAAAAAUAAUUUUGGAGCCUGUUUACUACUGGGAUUGCCUGGGUCCAGACCUUUGAAUCCGGCCACUGAAGAUGGAAAUGGAGUGCAACGAGUUGACAAUUCUGUCUGAUAUCAGGCUGCUACUAGGAUGCUUUAGUGAGCUCCUAAAUUGUUCAGCUGAGAAAAAGUGUUAACGUAGAGCCCUGAGUGGAUAUGUAGUUGUUAUUAUUAUUAUUAUUAUUAAUAAUAAUAAUAA
Anguilla rostrata (American eel) is the source of this 658-nucleotide long non-coding RNA. RefSeq lists it as uncharacterized. Lineage: Eukaryota; Metazoa; Chordata; Actinopteri; Anguilliformes; Anguillidae. The record is from RefSeq and is a predicted model, not a curated record. The transcript is spliced from 4 exons.